AGUCGUAACAAGGUCUCCGUAGGUGAACCUGCGGAGGGAUCAUUACACAAAUAUGAAGGCGGGCUGGAACCUCUCGGGGUUACAGCCUUGCUGAAUUAUUCACCCUUGUCUUUUGCGUACUUCUUGUUUCCUUGGUGGGUUCGCCCACCACUAGGACAAACAUAAACCUUUUGUAAUUGCAAUCAGCGUCAGUAACAAAUUAAUAAUUACAACUUUCAACAACGGAUCUCUUGGUUCUGGCAUCGAUGAAGAACGCAGCGAAAUGCGAUAAGUAGUGUGAAUUGCAGAAUUCAGUGAAUCAUCGAAUCUUUGAACGCACAUUGCGCCCUUUGGUAUUCCAAAGGGCAUGCCUGUUCGAGCGUCAUUUGUACCCUCAAGCUUUGCUUGGUGUUGGGCGUCUUGUCUCUAGCUUUGCUGGAGACUCGCCUUAAAGUAAUUGGCAGCCGGCCUACUGGUUUCGGAGCGCAGCACCAGUCGCACUCUCUAUCAGCAAAGGUCUAGCAUCCAUUAAGCCUUUUUUUUCAACUUUUGACCUCGGAUCAGGUAGGGAUACCCGCUGAACUUAAGCAUAUCAAUAAGUCG
RNAcentral lists this ribosomal RNA (582 nucleotides) under uncultured fungus. Its description in RNAcentral is "eukaryotic LSU rRNA". The stretch from base 211 to 364 matches the Rfam family "5.8S ribosomal RNA". Lineage: Eukaryota; Fungi. The record is from RNAcentral.